RNAcentral lists this ribosomal RNA (502 nucleotides) under uncultured bacterium. RNAcentral describes it as "bacterial SSU rRNA". It matches the Rfam family "Bacterial small subunit ribosomal RNA", at positions 903 to 1397 of the family's 1533-position model. The record is from RNAcentral.
AAAUGAAUUGACGGGGGCCCGCACAAGCGGUGGAGCACGUGGUUUAAUUCGAUGCAAACCGAAGAACCUUACCCGGGUUUGACAUGUAUGUAGUACAGAAGUGAAAGCGGACGGAACUCAGCUUGCUGAGUAGCAUACACAGGUGCUGCAUGGCUGUCGCCAGCUCGUGUCGUGAGAUGUUGGGUUAAGUCCCGCAACGAGCGCAACCCCUAUAGUCAGUUGCUAACGGUACGGCCGAGCACUCUGGCAAGACUGCCGCCGACAAGGCGGAGGAAGGUGGGGACGACGUCAAGUCAUCAUGGCCUUUAUACCCGGGGCGACACACGUGCUACAAUGGCCGGCACAGACGGCAGCUUAGUGGAGACACUUGGCGAAUCCUCUAAAGCCGGUCCCAGUUCGGAUUGCAGUCUGCAACUCGACUACAUGAAGCCGGAAUCGCUAGUAAUCGCAGAUCAGCCAAGCUGCGGUGAAUACGUUCCCGGGCCUUGUACACACCGCCCGU